Molecule: ribosomal RNA, 418 nt
Filed under: uncultured bacterium
Lineage: Bacteria
Description: bacterial SSU rRNA
Rfam family: Bacterial small subunit ribosomal RNA
Source: RNAcentral
AAUGAACGCUGGCGGCAUGCCUAACACAUGCAAGUCGAACGAGACCUUCGGGUCUAGUGGCGCACGGGUGCGUAACGCGUGGGAAUCUACCCUUGGGUUCGGAAUAACAGUGGGAAACUACUGCUAAUACCGGAUAAUGACGUAAGUCCAAAGAUUUAUCGCCCAAGGAUGAGCCCGCGUAGGAUUAGCUAGUUGGUGAGGUAAAAGCUCACCAAGGCGACGAUCCUUAGCUGGCUGAGAGGAUGAUCAGCCACACUGGGACUGAGACACGGCCCAGACUCCUACGGGAGGCAGCAGUGGGAAUAUUGGACAAUGGGCGAAAGCCUGAUCCAGCAAUGCCGCGUGAGUGAUGAAGGCCUUAGGGUUGUAAAGCUCUUUUACCCGGGAUGAUAAUGACAGUACCGGGAGAAUAAGCUCC